GACGAACGCUGGCGGCGUGCCUAACACAUGCAAGUCGAACGGAACUGUUUUGAAAGAUUUCUUCGGAAUGAAUUUGAUUUAGUUUAGUGGCGGACGGGUGAGUAACGCGUGAGUAACCUGCCUUCAAGAGGGGGAUAACAUUCUGAAAAGAAUGCUAAUACCGCAUGACAUAUCGGAAUCACAUGAUUUUGAUAUCAAAGAUUUUAUCGCUUGAAGAUGGACUCGCGUCCGAUUAGUUAGUUGGUGAGGUAACGGCUCACCAAGACCGCGAUCGGUAGCCGGACUGAGAGGUUGAACGGCCACAUUGGGACUGAGACACGGCCCAGACUCCUACGGGAGGCAGCAGUGGGGGAUAUUGCGCAAUGGGGGCAACCCUGACGCAGCAACGCCGCGUGAAGGAUGAAGGUUUUCGGAUUGUAAACUUCUUUUAUUAAGGACGAAAAAUGACGGUACUUAAUGAAUAAGCUCCGG
Molecule: ribosomal RNA, 471 nt
Filed under: uncultured bacterium
Lineage: Bacteria
Description: bacterial SSU rRNA
Rfam family: Bacterial small subunit ribosomal RNA
Source: RNAcentral